RNAcentral lists this unclassified non-coding RNA (217 nucleotides) under plant metagenome. RNAcentral's name for it is "partial contains small subunit ribosomal RNA, internal transcribed spacer 1, and 5.8S ribosomal RNA". The record is from RNAcentral.
UCUCCGUAGGUGAACCUGCGGAGGGAUCAUUACAAGUGACCCCGGUCUUACCACCGGGAUGUUCAUAACCCUUUGUUGUCCGACUCUGUUGCCUCCGGGGCGACCCUGCCUUCGGGCGGGGGCUCCGGGUGGACACUUCAAACUCUUGCGUAACUCUGCAGUCUGAGUAAACUUAAUUAAUAAAUUAAAACUUUUAACAACGGAUCUCUUGGUUCUG